CGCUGCCGUCACCACCCACUGCUCCUCCACCAGCACCCCCCCGCAGUACAGCUUGGACAUGUCCAAGAUGGCCGCCUGCCACGGCUGGGAGUGGGGCUCACAGUCAUGGCCCCCCACCACACGCGUGUCACCUACUGAGGGGGUCACUGCAAUGGCAGGAGGACACGUGUGUCAGUACCAUAACACGUGUGUCAGCAACACAACACGCGUGUCAGCACCAGUACAUGUGUGUCAGCAACACAACACGUGUGUCAGCAACACAACACGCAUCUCAGCAGCACUACAUGCAUGUCAGAACCACAACACGCGUGUCAGCAACACAACACACGUGUCAGCUACACAACACGCAUGUCAGCACCACUACAUGCGUGUCAGCACCAGUACAUGUAUGUCAGCACCACUACACGCGUCGGCACCGCAACACGUGUGUCACCAACACAACACGUGUCAGCAGCACUACACGUGUGUCAGCACCACAACACGCAUGUCAGCACCAGUACAUGUGUGUCAGCACCACUACACGCGUGUCAGCAACACAACAUGCGUGCCAGCACCACUACAUGUGUGUCAGCACCACAACACGCGUGUCAGCACCACUACACGCGUGUCACCUCCUGAGGGGGUCACUGCAACGGCAGGAGGACAUGCGUGUCAGCAACACAACAUGCGUGUCAGCACCACAACACGCGUGUCAGCAACACAACACGCGUGUCAGCACCAGUACAUGUGUGUCAGCACCACUACAUGCGUGUCAGCAACACAACACGCAUGUCAGCACCACAACACGCGUGUCAGCACCACUACACGCGUGUCGCCUCCUGAGGGGGUCACUGCAACGGCAGGAGGACACGCGUGUCAGCUACACAACACGUGUGUCAGCAACACAACACGCGUGUCAGCACCACAACAUGUGUGUCAGCACCACUACAUGCAUGUCAGCACAACACGCGUGUCACCAACACAACACGUGUCAGCAGCACUACACGUGUGUCAGCACCACAACACAUGUGUCAGCACCACAACACAUGUGUCAGCACCACAACAUGUGUGUCAGCAACACAACACGCGUGUCAGCACUACAACAUGUGUGUUUGCAACACAACACGCAUGUCAGCAACACAACACGUGUGUCAGCAGCACAAUACGUGUGUCAGCAUCGUCACAUGUAUGUUAGAACCACAACACACGUGUCACCACCUGAGGGGGUCACUUCAAGGACAGGAGAACACGUGUGUCAGCAUCAUAACACGUGUGUCAGCAACACAACACGUGUGUCAGCGUCAUCACAUGUAUGUCAGCACCUCCACAUGUGUGCCCCCUCACACGUAUGUAACCGCUCCCACAUAUAUGUCCUCCUACAUGUAUGCCCCCCCUACGUGUAUGUAACCCCCCCCACAUGUAUGUAACCCCCCAUGUGUCCCCCAUGUGUGUCCCCCCACAUGUAUGUUCCCCCCCACAUGUAUGCAACCCACCCCACAUGU
RNAcentral lists this long non-coding RNA (1481 nucleotides) under Phasianus colchicus (ring-necked pheasant). RNAcentral's name for it is "lncRNA (ENSPCLG00000017070.1)". Lineage: Eukaryota; Metazoa; Chordata; Aves; Galliformes; Phasianidae. The record is from RNAcentral.